Chinchilla lanigera (long-tailed chinchilla) is the source of this 340-nucleotide long non-coding RNA. RefSeq lists it as uncharacterized. NCBI's taxonomy places the organism in Eukaryota, Metazoa, Chordata, Mammalia, Rodentia, Chinchillidae. The record is from RefSeq and is a predicted model, not a curated record. The transcript has 3 exons.
CGGGUCCGGGGGUGCCUCGGGCCCCCGGUCCUCACCGCGGAAUCUGGAGAAGCGCGCCUGCCGGGUCGGGUCUUCCAGUGGAAGCUGUGAUCGCUGUCUGGGGCCAGCCGGAGAAGGGGCCUGAGAAAAUGAGGAAAGCUGAGGACAAAGAGAGCGACGAGGACCAGGUGGGCUGCACCCAGGCUAACUCACCUGGGGACGUGGGUCCGGAUCAUGAUACCUUUCAGCCCUAUGGGAAGUGUCAACGAAAGCCUGGGAAAUGAGGUCUCAGUGAUUCUGACCCCAUCCUCCAGCCAGCGCUGGCCAGGGAGACGGCAGGCCCUGGUCACCCAAGCUGAGG